GUCCCCAUCGUCUAGCGGCCAAGGACGCCGGCCCUCAAGUCGGAAACGGAGAUUCGAAUCCUUCUGGGGACACCA
RNAcentral lists this transfer RNA (75 nucleotides) under Coriobacteriales bacterium. RNAcentral's name for it is "tRNA-OTHER". It matches the Rfam family "tRNA". Rfam says of the family: Transfer RNA (tRNA) molecules are approximately 80 nucleotides in length. Their secondary structure includes four short double-helical elements and three loops (D, anti-codon, and T loops). The record is from RNAcentral. Lineage: Bacteria; Bacillati; Actinomycetota; Coriobacteriia; Coriobacteriales.